GACGAACGCUGGCGGCAUGCCUAACACAUGCGAGUCGAGCGAGCAGAUCCCUUCGGGGUGAAGCUAGCGGCGGACGGGGGAGUAACACGUUGGCAACCUGCCUCAUAGAGGGGAAUAGCCUUCCGAAAGAAAGAUUAAUACCGCAUAAGAUUGUGGCUUCGCAUGAAGCAGCAAUUAAAGGAGCAAUCCGCUAUGAGAUGGGCCCGCGGCGCAUUAGCUAGUUGGUGAGGUAACGGCUCACCAAGGCGACGAUGCGUAGCCGACCUGAGAGGGUGAUCGGCCACAGUGGGACUGAGACACGGCCCAGACUCCUACGGGAGGCAGCAGUGGGGAAUAUUGCACAAUGGGGGGAACCCUGAUGCAGCAAUGCCGCGUGAGUGAUGACGGCCUUCGGGUUGCAAAGCUCUGUCUUCGGGGACGAUAAUGACGGUACCCGAGGAGGAAGCCACGGCUAACUACGUGCCAGCAGCCGCCGUAA
RNAcentral lists this ribosomal RNA (478 nucleotides) under uncultured bacterium. RNAcentral describes it as "partial 16S ribosomal RNA". It matches the Rfam family "Bacterial small subunit ribosomal RNA", at positions 28 to 523 of the family's 1533-position model. The record is from RNAcentral.